RNAcentral lists this ribosomal RNA (253 nucleotides) under uncultured bacterium. Its description in RNAcentral is "partial 16S ribosomal RNA". It matches the Rfam family "Bacterial small subunit ribosomal RNA", at positions 524 to 776 of the family's 1533-position model. The record is from RNAcentral.
UACGUAGGGGGCAAGCGUUGUCCGGAAUCAUUGGGCGUAAAGCGCGCGUAGGCGGCCCGGUAAGUCCGCUGUGAAAGUCAAAGGCUCAACCUUUGAAUGUCAGCGGAUACUGCCGGGCUAGAGUCCGGAAGAGGCGAGUGGAACUCCUGGUGUAGCGGUGGAAUGCGCAGAUAUCAGGAAGAACACCCGUGGCGAAAGCGGCUCUCUGGAACGGUACUGACGCUGAGACGCGAAAGCGUGGGGAGCGAACAGG